GUGGCUAAGAAACUGAGAACUAACUCAUGAAUUGCUCCUGGAAUGGUUUCUGGCACUUAGGAGGAAUGAUAAAUACUUCUACAUGUUGAAAUAAACCAAGAGAUCUAGAGAACGGAAGGCUUUUCUUUAUAAUUGAUACAUGCAUCUGCUUACAGACUAGUUUCCAAGUGUAGCCAGGAAAUAUGAAGACUUGGCUGAAAGAAAAGUUUAUUUAGUAACUGAAAGGAAUCUUUUUUUUUUUUAUUUUUCAAAUAAAAAGUCAUGACAAGAGAAUGAAAAGCAUCAUGCAAUGAGAUAACAUUGCAUAUUUUGCUUACAAUUUUCAAAUAAUUGAAAUAGUUUUGCUAACACGCGUGUUUCUAGAAGACAAUACCAGCAUGGGUUAAAGUAACAGCUAUUUGAUGCAAAAAAUCAAAAUGUGUAUAUGCAUGUUCUAAAAUAAUUGAUACAAUUCAAAAUUUUUCUUUUAAUAAACUAGACCAAAUGUUUAAUCAGUGGAUCAAAGUCUGCCCUAAUAUAAAUUCAUAUGCUGACCCUACUUUAACAACAUGAAAUCUGAUGUUAUAACUUGGAAAAUACUAUUCACAAAUAGCAGAUUAAAGACAAGGAUGACCACAUUCAUCACUUCCAUUCAACAUAAUACUGAAAGUCCUGGCCACACCAUCAGACAACAAAAAGAAAUAAAAUGUAUCAAAACUGGUAAAGAAGAAGUAAAGCUUUCACUAUUUGCAGAUGACAAAAUAUAUAUAGAUAUAUAGGAAACCCUAAAAACUCCACAAAAAAUGACUAGAACUGAUAAAUGAAUUCAGUAAGAACACAGCAUACAAAAUGAAUACAUAGACACCUGUUGCAUUUCUAUACAUUAAUGGUGAAGCAGCAGAAAGAGAAAUUAAGAAAACAACUGCAUUUACAAUUGCACCAAAGUAAUAAGGUACCUUGGAAUAAACUUUACCAAGGUAAAAGAUCUGUACUCUGAAAGCUAUAAAACAUUGAUGAAAAAAAAAAUGAAGAUGACACAAAGAACUGGGAAGACAUUUCAUGCUUAUGGAGUGGAAGAAUAUUGUUAAAAUGUCCAUACUACCCAAAGCAAGCUACAGAUUUAAUGUAAUUCCUAUCAACAUACCAAAAGCAUUUUUCACAGAGCAAGAACAAACAAUCUUACAAUUUGUAUGA
Molecule: long non-coding RNA, 1173 nt
Organism: Felis catus (domestic cat)
Lineage: Eukaryota; Metazoa; Chordata; Mammalia; Carnivora; Felidae
Exons: 3
Source: RefSeq, a predicted model, not a curated record